GUGAACACCUAAACCCAUCAGAACUGUACACUCUAGAGGGGAACUCGACCAAUCUGACGAACACGACGUCUACUUCAUUCUCUGAUGUGGUUACUAGCUAACCAGGGACCGGCCGACCUUUGUGCCCAACACAUAGGUAUGCCCCUGGUUGAGUGCAUGAUUAUAAAAUUGAAUUCCUAGUAAUCACAAAUUCACAUGUCUUUACGUAGAAAAGAAAGGAAAGUAAAACUCAAAAAAUUGGGAAAAGCACAAAGUAGGCUCCAGAUGAUGGAAUUUUUGUGCUUACCUGAGUGAAGAGAUAUGGGCCCGGAAUCCCUGUGGGUCUGGGGAAAACCCAAAGUUGAUCCAUGACCUGGCCAGCUGGCAAAGGCAAAUCAUCCGUGGGGCCUACCCGCCACAUCGGAUAUACCAGACAGAGGAGACAAAAAGGACGCUACGAAAGCAACGUGUGACCAAUGACGUCGCGUGGAUCACGGCAUCCUUGAUCUCCACUAGCGGUUAUCGCAGGAGAGACAAAAAAGACAGUUGACAGUGGCGUCCAGCCAAUCACAUUCCACGGAUCCCUGUUCCUCUGAACCUCCAUUCGCUUUUAUCACAGAUAACACCAAAAGGACAUCCAGAUUGCGCAAAUACACACCCUCCUCUGCCACCACUAAUGGUCAGCAGGGUUUUAAUAGUGACGUUUCGCCCAAUCACUUCUCACCAUUCCGGCUAUAAAUACCACACUCCAACAAGAUGAAAUCCGGCUACAUUUCAGACACCUCUACAAAUUAUUAUACAAGAGCAAUACUUAUUCUCACGCUGAAGGGUGGUUACUAGAAGAACUCCCAGGCCCCAACCCCUCCUUCUCGUAACGAGCCUAACGGUGUUGUUCAGUUUUGUAGAUCAAACCAUUGUUAGAAUUCUUGAAGAUCGGAGCCUUACAAUCUGUUGAACAUCGUCUAAUCUACCACGGUUGGACCGGUGUUUCUUCACUCUGUCUAGUUGCUUCAAGUAUGGUUCCACUAAUUCCUAGAUUAGUCUU
This 1024-nucleotide long non-coding RNA is filed under the name Helianthus annuus (common sunflower). Its description in RNAcentral is "hypothetical non coding rna". The record is from RNAcentral. Lineage: Eukaryota; Viridiplantae; Streptophyta; Magnoliopsida; Asterales; Asteraceae.